CUGGGUUUUUACGUCCAAGAUGCAUUAUAUUGCACUUAUCAACAUUAAGUUGCCACAUCUCUGACAAUUGUUCUAGUUUACCUACAUCAUUUACCAUUUGGCUUAUACCUCCUGGAAAAUCAACCCUGUAAAUAGUCAUAUCGGCAUAAUCACAAGGUUAGUUCCCUCCUUUUUACUCUACUCUUUCAAUGCUCUAUGUUGUGGACUUCACCUCUUUACAUAGGUCUAUUUUUUAAUCAUGGAUAAUUUUAAUUUAGCUAGUUCAUGAGAGUUAAGGAGUGUUCAGUCUCUCGCUUUUGGAAGCUCCCCCAGUAGACAACCCUGUUGAACAGGGCCAGCACUACCAUAAGG
Pelobates cultripes (western spadefoot toad) is the source of this 351-nucleotide non-coding RNA. Lineage: Eukaryota; Metazoa; Chordata; Amphibia; Anura; Pelobatidae. The record is from the annotation of a GenBank genome assembly.